Molecule: unclassified non-coding RNA, 430 nt
Filed under: Hevea brasiliensis (rubber tree)
Lineage: Eukaryota; Viridiplantae; Streptophyta; Magnoliopsida; Malpighiales; Euphorbiaceae
Source: RNAcentral
CCUUUUUCUGUCACUGUCCUUUACCAAUCCUCUACUCAAACGCCUUGUGUGCGUACUUUUGACUAUGAGCUUUGCUGCCUGUGAAAGCCACUACCCACCAUCGAAGAUAAGAAAACCCAUCUGAUCAAAGCAAGAAAGUGACGCCCCCCUAAUUUUCCUUUGUCCCACCACUAACUAAUCUAUACAGUACAUGCAUUAGUUUAACACCAAAAAAAUAAAAAAUUUUCCCCCAAGCUGCUUGUGAUUACAUUGAAUAUGUUACUUUGUCAUAAAUACAAAAACGAAUAAUAAUAUAUAUAAUUACGAGUCAAUAAACANNNNACCCACCCGUCCAGUUUGUAUCAAACUAUGUCAUCACCAAUAUAACCAUUUUCUGAUGAGGAGGUUGAGACAGUGAUCAUGCCAUUGCAGUCAGACACACUGUCCUGCA